AUGAGAGUCAUCUUUUCACAGUAAAGACUAGAAAUGCUAAUAAGAUGCAGUGAAGGCAGGUUUCUGGUCUGUAUGUGAGAACUUCUCCUUUACCUCCCCAGGCAUUUGAGGAAUGUGUAUUGAUGAAGAUUUUUUGAAAGGUGAUAGGUAAGAAUAAAUACUACAUUUUUUAACCUUUGUCUGAUGAUGGAAGCCCCUCACAUCCUAGCAAUGUAUUUUCUUGCCCUGCACCAUUUUUUUUUUUUGCCUCAGAAAUCAUAGUUCUCUGUAAAAUAUGGCAAAGUAACAGCUCUGUAACAGUGCUCACUAAGAAGACAAGCAGCUUUAUUGUGGCUCCUCACAGAAGCAGCCAUAAGUAAGUUAUAAGUUGGGACUGCAGAAAAAAGUUUUAUGGUCUCAUUUCCACCAUACUUCUCUGCUGCCAACUCCAUGCCCACUCCCAUAUGAGUGCCCCCACUCUUAACCUCAAGAUAUUGAGCUCCUUGGAUAGGUACAACAUUGCUAGGCCUCUUGUUCCCUACCCCUCAUCCUUCAUGAUGUCCUUCAUGAUGUCCAUUUGCCUAUUUCCCAUCGCUUCACUCAGUGUUUCUUGUCAUGUUCAAGCUGGGCCUCUGUGUGUUGUCUGCCCAUGUUGUGGUUUAUUAUGCUCAUCUUGUUUGGGGCCAAAGUAUCUUUGCUAGGAAAGCAUCCCCUAUAUUAUUAUAGCCUGGUAGAUUUUCCAUUGUUUCAAGAAACCCAUAUGCUUUUUCCCUUGAUGGAGAGAUUAGGAGAGGCCCUGUUGAUAUCAGGUGUUCUGAUUCCUCAGAAGCUGAGGUUAUUAGAUUUACCUCCAUUUUAUUGUGAAUAUGCUUUAGCUUCCUGGUCCAUGAAGAAUUCUGUAACCCAACAGCAGGAUGCCUUGGGUAAGGGAGGAGCCCUUGUACUCAGUGGGAGACACGGCCGAGGGAUCACAAGAAGACCUGUCUCAGUCCCCUUCCACUUCAGCACACAAGGUCAAAGCAUGUCGUGCAUUUCUCUUCUGCUAUUAAUCUUCAUUACCCAAACAGUCAUUAAAUGAAACUCAGCCCACGUUUUUUUUUCCUGUUCAGUUUUUAUUACCACCACCUGACUAAUUAUUAAAAAGCAAGCAAGCAUCAAUUAGAUCCAGACACAUACAUGACAAUUACACUGGGGAGACACGACAGGGUUGAACAACACAUCCCCCUGGAGUGCAUAAUAAUCUGGCAGAGACCAGAGCUCUAUGUAUAAGCAACAAAUGCAUCUAAUUGACUUCCUGGGAAGCGAGGUCCUCAUGUCAAAACAUCUGGGUACAAUUUUCUGGGCAUUUAAACAGCUCUGACUCCAGAGAGACAUGGAGUAUGCCCUGGGCUGCAUCUAGACUGGAUUUACACAACCCCCUAGCACCUUAUCCUUGGUUCUUGCACCACAUAUGCCUUUUUCUUUAGCUCUUGGUCCAGUUCACCUGUUAUAGUUUGAAGUGAUAGACUUUUCUUCCUAUAUUUCAUCAGCCAAUCCUGUACCACACUGAAUUUCUGGCCAUUCCAUGGACAGGAAAGGAGGGUCAGUAGGCACCUUACACAUGUUCUUUCCCCCCUUGCUUUGCUAAAAAUGUGCACUCAUUCUUCAACUCCUGGUCUAAAUGUCACUGAGUUAAUGUAGUUUUUACUGAUUGCCCCCAAGCAUUUAGCUGCCUCCCAUCUUCUUUUUUUUAACUUAUUAGUUUAUUCAUGAGAGACACAGAGAGAGAGAGAGAGAGACAGAGACAGAGACAGAGACACAGGUGGAGGGAGAAGCAGGCCCCAUGCAGGGAGCCCGAUGCAGGACUCGAUCCUGGGACUUCAGGAUCAUGCCCUGGGCCAAAGGCAGGCGCUAAACCCCUGAG
Molecule: long non-coding RNA, 1882 nt
Filed under: Vulpes vulpes (red fox)
Lineage: Eukaryota; Metazoa; Chordata; Mammalia; Carnivora; Canidae
Description: lncRNA (ENSVVUG00000018613.1)
Source: RNAcentral